Molecule: long non-coding RNA, 922 nt
Organism: Marmota monax (woodchuck)
Lineage: Eukaryota; Metazoa; Chordata; Mammalia; Rodentia; Sciuridae
Exons: 2
Source: RefSeq, a predicted model, not a curated record
CGGGACCCGCCCCCUAAGGCGGAGGAGGAACUGGCGCUGGCAGAAAAAAGAAGCUGGACUCUGGGCUUGAAAAAUGAAAAAUAAAAAGCGUAGUCUUUUUAUUCGCGGCCGCAGCUCCCGCUUUUCUCAGCACGCGCACGACUUCCCGUCGCUUUCCCCAACACCCACUGUGUCCCCACAACUCGGGAUCGAACCCUUACCGGCAUCUUGGCGGCGCCGGGGUUUGGACUCAGAGGAGCAAGAUCUAGUUAAAGCGCGGCGCUUCCGGUCUGGGGACCAGGGCGGAGUAGGCGGAAGUGAGCCGGAAGCGGAGGGCAAGAGGAGGACGUGACGUUUCCGGCCUUGCCCUCCCGCCGCCGACUGCUGCGGCUGCAGGGAUCAGAAGGUGCGUCAGGGGGCGUCGGAGCUCUGGGCAGGGGCUCUGAGUACCGCGCAUGUGUAAAGCGCGUGCCGACCAGGGAGGUGUUUGAGGCUUACGGUAUCCCUGGGACUAAUCACCUUUGUUUUUCCUUAAAGCUCACCUUUUCAGUGAAGAAUUAAUUCCCUAAUCACACUUUCAAAUUCAACCCCACUCCAACCCCCUGCUUUAAGUGAGAAAACCUUUUCCCCUCAGUUUUAUGAUUCUGCGUUUCCUUUUGAUGUCGUCUGUUGCCCCACCCUUGUAAAUGUUAAAAAGGCAGGGCUCUUGUCUGCUUUGUUCACUGGUAUCCCCCGCGCCGGUGACAGUCACUGUACAUUGUAAGCAUCGGUGAAUAUUUGUUGAGUGAAUGAACUCCACCGACUGCCUUCAAAAAAGGGAAGUUGGGGAGGGAAAGAGGAAGAGCUUGGCGACUGAAAUGAAGCAAGCUAAAUUAUAUCAGAACAAAUCCCCACUAUUAUGUGUUAAGUAUAAUGCACUAAUAAAAACUUUCUUUUCUUCUUC